Molecule: ribosomal RNA, 273 nt
Filed under: uncultured bacterium
Lineage: Bacteria
Description: partial 16S ribosomal RNA
Rfam family: Bacterial small subunit ribosomal RNA
Source: RNAcentral
AUACGGAGGGUGCAAGCGUUAUUCGGAAUCACUGGGCGUAAAGGACGCGUAGGCGGGUUGGCAAGUCAGAUGUGAAAUCCUACAGCUUAACUGUAGAACUGCAUUUGAAACUGCUAACCUAGAGUAUGGGAGGGGGAGAUGGAAUUAGUGGUGUGGGGUAAAAUCCGUAGAUAUCACUAGGAAUACCGAAAGCGAAGGCGAUCUCCUGGAACAUAACUGACGCUAAGGCGUGAAAGCGUGGGGAGCAAACAGGAUUAGAAACCCUAGUAGUCC